RNAcentral lists this small nucleolar RNA (133 nucleotides) under Anas platyrhynchos platyrhynchos (common mallard). RNAcentral's name for it is "Small nucleolar RNA SNORA9 (ENSAPLG00000022143.1)". Lineage: Eukaryota; Metazoa; Chordata; Aves; Anseriformes; Anatidae. The record is from RNAcentral.
CCGCAAGCCUUCCAGCGUGGCGGGACCUGCGGUGGCCCCGACCAUUCCUGCAGCGCUUGCCAGAACAACCCCAAAAGCUCCGGGGCCUCCCCCUGCACCCCCUGGGGGAGGCCGUGGGGGGUCUUGGACACAC